This 2516-nucleotide ribosomal RNA is filed under the name Cytophagaceae bacterium. RNAcentral's name for it is "partial 23S ribosomal RNA". It matches the Rfam family "Bacterial large subunit ribosomal RNA", at positions 1 to 2586 of the family's 2925-position model. The record is from RNAcentral. Lineage: Bacteria; Pseudomonadati; Bacteroidota; Cytophagia; Cytophagales; Cytophagaceae.
GAUCGGAUCAAGCGCGAGAAGGGCGUUUGGUGGAUGCCUUGGCAGCAAGAGGCGAUGAAGGACGUGAUACCCUGCGAUAAGUUCUGGGGAGCCGGGAAUAGGCUUUGAUCCAGGAAUCUCCGAAUGGGGCAACCCACCUGACACUUCAUUGCUGUGACCUUUGCGGGUCACAGCAGCGAGGUGAACCAGGUAUCUUUGACCUGAAUACAUAGGGACAAAGAAGCAAACCCGGGGAACUGAAACAUCUCAGUACCUGGAGGAAAGGACAUCAAUAGAGACUCCGUUAGUAGUGGCGAGCGAACGCGGACCAGCCGAGCCUUGAGAGUGACCAGAACCAUCUGGGAAGGUGGGCCAUAGCGGGUGACAGCCCCGUAUGGGAAGCUCGACGUGACGCAUUAAGUAGGGCGGGACACGUGCAAUCCUGUCUGAAGAUCGGGGGACCACCCUCGAAGGCUAAGUACUCCUUGCUGACCGAUAGCGAACCAGUACCGUGAGGGAAAGGUGAAAAGCACCCCGACGAGGGGAGUGAAACAGUUCCUGAAACCGGACGCCUACAAGCAGUCGGAGCCUCCUUGAGGGGUGACGGCGUACCUUUUGUAUAAUGGGUCAUCGACUUGGUCUCACGAGCAAGCUUAAGCCGAUAGGUGGAGGCGCAGCGAAAGCGAGUCUUAAUAGGGCGAAUGAGUUCGUGGGAUCAGACCCGAAACCGAGUGAUCUAGCCAUGGCCAGGCUGAAGGCUGGGUAACACCAGCUGGAGGGCCGAACCCACACCUGUUGAAAAAGGUCGGGAUGAGCUGUGGCUAGGGGUGAAAGGCUAAUCAAACUCGGAGAUAGCUGGUUCUCUGCGAAAUCUAUUUAGGUAGAGCGUCGGCCGAAUGCCCUCGGGGGUAGAGCACUGGAUGGGUGAUGGGGUCCCACAGACUUACUGAGCCUAACCAAACUCCGAAUACCGAGGAGCACUAGCCGGCAGACAGACAUCGGGUGCUAACGUCCGGUGUCGAGAGGGAAACAACCCUGACCUCCAGCUAAGGCCCCCAAUUCACGGCUAAGUGGGAAAGCAGGUGGGACGACCAAAACAACCAGGAGGUUGGCUUAGAAGCAGCCAUCCUUUAAAGAUAGCGUAACAGCUCACUGGUCUAGAUAAGUUGUCCUGCGGCGAAGAUGUAACGGGGCUCAAGCCGUGAGCCGAAGCUGAGGAUGCAUGCAGCGAUGCGUGCGUGGUAGCAGAGCGUGGUGUGAUAGCGUCUCGCGCCUCUUUUGCAGGAGUUCCUGCACAGGAGGCUUGAGGCCGUCGAUGAAGCUGGGGCGUGAGCCAUCCGGUGGAGAGAUCACCAGUGAGAAUGAUGACAUGAGUAGCGACAAACAGGGUGAGAAACCCUGUCGCCGAAAGUCCAAGGGUUCCUGCUUAAAGCUAAUCUGAGCAGGGUGAGCCGACCCCUAAGGCGAGGCCGAGAGGCGUAGUCGAUGGGAACCGGGUUAAUAUUCCCGGGCCAGGAGGAUGUGACGGAUCGCAGGUGUAGUUUGCCCUUAUCGGAUUGGGCGGGCUGCUGAGCGGUUCCUGGAAAUAGCCCUCCAUGAGAUCGUACCCUAAACCGACACAGGUGGACUGGUAGAGAAUACCAAGGCGCUUGAGAGAACCACAUCAAAGGAACUCGGCAAAAUGCCUCCGUAAGUUCGCGAGAAGGAGGCCCCGUCUGUACGCAAGUAUGGGCGGGGGGCACAAACUAGGGGGUGGCGACUGUUUACUUAAAACACAGGGCUCUGCGAAGCCGUAAGGCGACGUAUAGGGUCUGACGCCUGCCCGGUGCUGGAAGGUUAAAAGGAGGGGUGCAAGCUCUGAAUUGAAGCCCCAGUAAACGGCGGCCGUAACUAUAACGGUCCUAAGGUAGCGAAAUUCCUUGUCGGGUAAGUUCCGACCUGCACGAAUGGCGUAACGAUCUCCCCGCUGUCUCUGAUGUGGACUCAGCGAAAUUGAACUGUGUGUCAAGAUGCACACUUCCCGCGGUUAGACGGAAAGACCCCAUGCACCUUUACUAUAGCUUCGCACUGGCAUCAGGAUUGUGAUGUGCAGGAUAGGUGGUAGGCAUCGAAGCGGGGACGCUAGUUCCCGUGGAGCCUCCCUUGAGAUACCACCCUUCGCACUCUUGAUGUCUAACCGCGGCCCGUUAUCCGGGUCCGGGACCCUGCGUGGUGGGUAGUUUGACUGGGGCGGUCGCCUCCCAAAUCGUAACGGAGGCGCGCGAAGGUAGGCUCAGAGCGGUCGGAAAUCGCUCGUUGAGUGCAAUGGCAGAAGCCUGCCUGACUGCAAGACUGACAAGUCGAGCAGAGACGAAAGUCGGUCAUAGUGAUCCGGUGGUCCCAAGUGGGAGGGCCAUCGCUCAACGGAUAAAAGGUACGCUGGGGAUAACAGGCUGAUGAUGCCCAAGAGUCCAUAUCGACGGCAUCGUUUGGCACCUCGAUGUCGGCUCAUCUCAUCCUGGGGCUGGAGCAGGUCCCAAGGGUAUGGCUGUUCGCCA